Molecule: ribosomal RNA, 59 nt
Filed under: uncultured bacterium
Lineage: Bacteria
Description: partial 16S ribosomal RNA
Source: RNAcentral
AACGUCCAACCCGACCAAGGAGGGGCAGACCGCCCGAGGUAUGUACCAUGAUUGGGGUG